GUCGUCAGCUCGUGUCGUGAGAUGUUGGGUUAAGUCCCGCAACGAGCGCAACCCUUGCCAUUAGUUGCUACAUUCAGUUGAGCACUCUAAUGGACUGCCGGUGACAAACCGGAGGAAGGUGGGGAUGACGUCAAGUCCUCAUGGCCCUUAUAGGUGGGGCUACACACGUCAUACAAUGGCUGGUACAAAGGGUUGCCAACCCGCGAGGGGGAGCUAAUCCCAUAAAGCCAGUCGUAGUCCGGAUCGCAGUCUGCAACUCGACUGCGUGAAGUCGGAAUCGCUAGUAAUCGUGGAUCAGAAUGUCACGGUGAAUACGUUCCCGGGUCUUGUACACACCGCCCGUCACACCAUGGGAGCGGGUCUCGCCAGAAGUAGGUAGCCUAACCGCAAGGAGGGCGAUUACCACGGUAGGAUUCAUGACUGGGGUGAAGUCGUAACAAGGUA
RNAcentral lists this ribosomal RNA (444 nucleotides) under uncultured Comamonadaceae bacterium. Its description in RNAcentral is "bacterial SSU rRNA". It matches the Rfam family "Bacterial small subunit ribosomal RNA", at positions 1051 to 1498 of the family's 1533-position model. Lineage: Bacteria; Pseudomonadati; Pseudomonadota; Betaproteobacteria; Burkholderiales; Comamonadaceae. The record is from RNAcentral.